CAGCCGCCGCGGUAAUACCGGCGGCCCGAGUGGCGGUCACUAUUAUUGGGCUUAAAGCGUCCGUAGCCGGGUUGGGAAGUCCUCCGGGAAAUCUGGCCGCUUAAAGGUCAGAAUGCCGGAGGAUACUCCCAGCCUAGGGAGCGGGAGAGGCCGAGGGUAUUCCCGGGGUAGGGGUGAAAUCCUAUAAUCCCGGGAGGACCACCUGUGGCGAAGGCGCUCGGCUGGAACGCGUCCGACGGUGAGGGACGAAGGCCAGGGGAGCAAACCGGAUUAGAUACCCGGGUAGUCCUGGCUGUAAACGAUGCGGACUUUGUGUCGGACAAGCUAUGAGCUUGUCCGGUGCCGGAGGGAAACCGUUAAGUCCGCCGCCUGGGGAGUACGGCCGCAAGGCUGAAACUUAAAGGAAUUGGCGGG
This 414-nucleotide ribosomal RNA is filed under the name uncultured microorganism. RNAcentral's name for it is "bacterial SSU rRNA". It matches the Rfam family "Archaeal small subunit ribosomal RNA", at positions 459 to 872 of the family's 1478-position model. The record is from RNAcentral.